Molecule: non-coding RNA, 2341 nt
Organism: Prunus avium (sweet cherry)
Lineage: Eukaryota; Viridiplantae; Streptophyta; Magnoliopsida; Rosales; Rosaceae
Source: RefSeq, a predicted model, not a curated record
CUAGCCCUCCUCUCGUUCCUCGCUCAGAUUAGGGUAAAAUCCCCAAACCCUAACUUCUUUCUACACAUACCUUCUGUGUCUCUCUACCCCAAUAGCUGACGGCGCGUGGGAUCGAUUGAUGGCGCGUGUGGGUCACGCCUAGGCCGAUUCAUGGUGCCUGGUCCAUCACCUGCAUUGAGAAUCCCUAGCCGGAGCUCAGCUGGAACCCUACCCGAGGACGAAGCUUCGAAAACCGUACAGCUAUGGCAUCCGCCGUCUUAGCGAACCGGAACGAACCCAAUUGGCCGCAGCAGCCCCGAGGUGGAGGAGCCGGAGCCGGAGGAUUCAUGGGGAAGGUCCCCUUUUCUUCUUCAAACAGUCACCGUAACCCUAACCCUAACAAGCGACAAUUCAAAGCUGACCGCCCCGAUUUCAACGAUGAGUCGCCGGCCGUCACCCAGACAGCCUCAGACGAUGCGUCGUCGAUCAACCACCAUCGCCGAUCAAACACAAACGACAUGAAUUUCGCACAGGCCCAAUACGUCAGCUUCAACAUCGCGAGCUGUUCGAGAAAGGAGCUGGUGGAGCUAAAGGGCCGUCUUCUCUCGGAGCUAGACCAGAUUCGCAUUCUCAAGAAUCGAAUCGAAGCCGGCGACUUCAACCCUAAGCCGCCCCACAAGAAGCCCAUCGGCAACAAGAAGAUUGUUGGGUCGAAACGACCUUUGCCGAUUGCUCACGGAAAGGAAUCAAAUUCCAAUUCCAAGCGGUCUCAUUUGGAGAAUGGGAAUUUGAUGAAAAAUUGUGGCUUGAUUUUGUCCAAGCUGAUGAAGCACAAGCACGCAUGGAUCUUCAACAAGCCAGUCGACGUUGUGACUAUGGGGCUUCACGAUUACUACGACAUAAUCAAAAAUCCCAUGGAUCUUGGCACCGUGAAGACGAAUCUCGCCAAGAGUAUCUAUUCUUCGCCGUUCGAUUUCGCUGCAGAUGUGAGAUUGACUUUCGAGAAUGCCAUGCGGUACAAUCCCCAAGGGCACGAGGUCUAUGGGUUUGCCGAUCUGCUUCGAUUGAGGUUUGAGGAGUUGUUUCAGCCUCUGAAUGAGAAAUCGGGAGAUGGGUUUCGGUCGGAAAAGGGUUCCGAUGAGGAAUUGCAGGCGAGUUCUUGGAACCAUGUUGAGCCGGAGAGGGUUCCGAAGAGGGAGACACCUGUACGGAUCGAGAAAAAGCCUGAGUUGGUUCGGCCUCCCCCAGUUCGAGCGCCGCCGGUUCAGGCCCCAGUGAGCUCAUCGAACCCAGACCCAGCAUUGGUGCAAUCGUCACCGGUACGGAAGAAUUCACAGGUGAAGGGCCCAGGUGUGAAGCCGUUGAAGCAGCCGAAACCCAAGGCUAAGGACCCAAAUAAGAGGGAGAUGAGUAUGGAGGAGAAGCACAAGUUGGGAGUUGGGUUGCAGAGUUUGCCUCAGGACAAGAUGGAGCAGGUUGUGCAGAUUAUAAAGAAGAGGAAUGGGCAUUUGAAGCAGGAUGGGGAUGAGAUUGAGCUUGACAUUGAGGCUGUUGAUACAGAGACCCUUUGGGAGCUUGAUCGGCUUGUGACCAAUUGGAAGAAGAUGGUUAGCAAGAUUAAGCGGCAAGCAUUGAUGGGCAACAACAAAAGCAACAGCAAUAGCAACAUUGCUUCCAACAGAGGCCACGAGGAAUUACCUGUAAGUGAGAAAGUUGAUGUUGCAGCAACUACAGAGCCAAAGAGGGCAAAGAAAGGUGAAGCAGGAGACGAAGAUGUGGACAUUGGUGAUGACAUGCCAAUGAGCAGCUUUCCACCAGUUGAGAUUGAGAAAGAUGUUGGGGGAGGCCAUGCCAGUAGUGAUAGCUCAAGUAGCUCCAGCAGUUCCAGCAGUGGUUCCUCCUCAUCAAGCGAUUCGGAUUCUGGUAGUUCAUCAGGGAGUGACUCAGAUGAUGAUAAUGCUCAGUCCUAGUUGUGCGUUCUGCAUUGAAUUGAAGGACAUUGGAGAGAAGACCAAUGUGGGGGAAGCUGGCUGGAGAGCAUGCUUUCCAUGUGGGAAGGGCCUUUUGAAUGUUUAGUGGAUCGUGUUGAUGAGGUCUCAGAACUAAGCAAAAGUGAAUUUGUGAACUUUGUUGUGUGGUGGUUCUUGCUUGCAAAUUGGAAGUGAGCAUUGGUUGUUUUGCUUGGAGGUGUAAAAAAAAUUGUGAAAUGAUGAAAAAAUUGUUGUAGGUGAAGUAGGUAGUGAAACAGAGUAGUGGAAAGAAGAGAGUUAGUAAGAGAAGUUUAGAGAUUUGAAACACUUUGUACACAAUUUACAGAGAGAGCUAGUACAUAAUUUUCCCCAAUUACAGAUGCUCUUGUGCC